RNAcentral lists this ribosomal RNA (539 nucleotides) under uncultured bacterium. RNAcentral's name for it is "partial 16S ribosomal RNA". It matches the Rfam family "Bacterial small subunit ribosomal RNA", at positions 355 to 883 of the family's 1533-position model. The record is from RNAcentral.
UGGGGAAUUUUGGACAAUGGGCGAAAGCCUGAUCCAGCAAUGCCGCGUGUGUGAAGAAGGCCUUCGGGUUGUAAAGCACUUUUGUCCGGAAAGAAAUCCUUGGCUCUAGUACAGUCGGGGGAUGACGGUACCGGAAGAAUAAGCACCGGCUAACUACGUGCCAGCAGCCGCGGUAAUGCGUAGGGUGCAAGCGUUAAUCGGAAUUACUGGGCGUAAAGCGUGCGCAGGCGGUUUGCUAAGACCGAUGUGAAAUCCCCGGGCUCAACCUGGGAACUGCAUUGGUGACUGGCAGGCUAGAGUAUGGCAGAGGGGGGUAGAAUUCCACGUGUAGCAGUGAAAUGCGUAGAGAUGUGGAGGAAUACCGAUGGCGAAGGCAGCCCCCUGGGCCAAUACUGACGCUCAUGCACGAAAGCGUGGGGAGCAAACGGGAUUAGAUACCCUGGUAGUCCACGCCCUAAAGCGAUGUCAACUAGUUGUUGGGGGAUUCAUUUCCUUAGUAACCGUAGCUAACGCGUGAAGUUGACCGCCUGGGGGAGUAC